This 371-nucleotide ribosomal RNA is filed under the name uncultured organism. RNAcentral's name for it is "bacterial SSU rRNA". It matches the Rfam family "Bacterial small subunit ribosomal RNA", at positions 526 to 896 of the family's 1533-position model. The record is from RNAcentral.
CGUAGGCAGCGAGCGUUGUUCGGAGUUACUGGGCGUAAAGGGUGUGUAGGCGGUUCUUUAAGUUUGGUGUGAAAUCUCCCGGCUCAACCGGGAGGGUGCGCCGAAUACUGAGGGACUUGGAGUACGGGAUGGGAAAGUGGAAUUCCUGGUGUAGCGGUGAAAUUCGUAGAUAUUGGGAAGAACACCAGUGGCGAAGGCGGCUCUCUGGCCCGGACCUGACGCUGAGGCGCGAAAGCGUGGGGAGCAAACAGGAUUAGAUACCCUGGUAGUCCACGCUGUAAACGAUGGAUGCUAGAUGUUGGGGGGCUUGCCCUUCGGUGUCGUAGCUAACGCGAUAAGCAUCCCGCCUGGGGAGUACGGCCGCAAGGUUA